This 248-nucleotide long non-coding RNA is filed under the name Elaeis guineensis (African oil palm). RNAcentral describes it as "long non-coding RNA (EGUI_LNC011583)". Lineage: Eukaryota; Viridiplantae; Streptophyta; Magnoliopsida; Arecales; Arecaceae. The record is from RNAcentral.
GCACUGACGACGAGGAGGAGAAGGACGGGGUUCAUCCGAAAGUUGGAUAGAAGGACAUCUGUCGGUGGAAGGGAGGAGGGGCCCGGAGGAGAAGAAGGGAGAUCGCUUGGAAGUUGGAUGGAGGGGCGUCCGUCGAUAAAAGAGAGGAGGGAGCUGACGUAUCUUGAUUCGUGAUCGGAGUCGGAUGCCAGAGGCGGCGGCAUCGGCAAUGAGGAGGAAGAGGAGGGGGGAUCUAUAGAGCUAGGAGG